GGGCCCGCACAAGCGGUGGAGCAUGUGGUUUAAUUCGAUGAUACGCGAGGAACCUUACCAGGGCUUAAAUGCAGAACGACAGACUGGGAAACCAGUCCUUCUUCGGACGAUCUGCAAGGUGCUGCAUGGUUGUCGUCAGCUCGUGCCGUGAGGUGUCGGGUUAAGUCCCAUAACGAGCGCAACCCCUAUCCUUAGUUGCCAGCGAGUAAUGUCGGGGACUCUAAGGAAACUGCCUGCGCAAGCAGUGAGGAAGGUGGGAUGACGUCAAAUCAUCACGGCCCUUACGUCCUGGGCUACACACGUGCUACAAUGGCCGGUACAGAGGGCAGCCCACACCGCAAGGUGGAGCG
Molecule: ribosomal RNA, 350 nt
Filed under: uncultured bacterium
Lineage: Bacteria
Description: bacterial SSU rRNA
Rfam family: Bacterial small subunit ribosomal RNA
Source: RNAcentral